RNAcentral lists this transfer RNA (73 nucleotides) under Candidatus Melainabacteria bacterium. Its description in RNAcentral is "tRNA-Phe". It matches the Rfam family "tRNA". Rfam says of the family: Transfer RNA (tRNA) molecules are approximately 80 nucleotides in length. The record is from RNAcentral. Lineage: Bacteria; Bacillati; Candidatus Melainabacteria.
GCCGCGAUAGCUCAGAUGGUAGAGCAGAGGACUGAAAAUCCUUGUGUCGGCAGUUCAAUUCUGCCUCGCGGCA